AGUAAAAUGGUGAAAAGUCUUUGUUUUAUUGACAUGAGAAUGUGGCAACAUGUGGACAAGCUGCCAUAGUAACACAUGGAUGACUCUUUACCUUUGUAUGCAUCACCUAAAAUGUUGAGUUAUUUUUCAAAACAACAAGCCAGAUAUGAUCACAAUGUUUUAAUUAAUGUAUUUAAUACUAACAGUAUUAUUUACAAC
Long non-coding RNA from Sphaeramia orbicularis (orbiculate cardinalfish), 198 nucleotides. RefSeq lists it as uncharacterized. The record is from RefSeq and is a predicted model, not a curated record. Lineage: Eukaryota; Metazoa; Chordata; Actinopteri; Kurtiformes; Apogonidae. The transcript has 3 exons.